Molecule: ribosomal RNA, 253 nt
Filed under: uncultured bacterium
Lineage: Bacteria
Description: partial 16S ribosomal RNA
Rfam family: Bacterial small subunit ribosomal RNA
Source: RNAcentral
UACGUAGGGUGCAAGCGUUAAUCGGAAUUACUGGGCGUAAAGCGUGCGCAGGCGGUUUCGUAAGUCUGUCGUGAAAUCCCCGGGCUUAACCUGGGAAUGGCGAUGGAGACUGCGAGGCUAGAGUUUGGCAGAGGGGGGUAGAAUUCCACGUGUAGCAGUGAAAUGCGUAGAGAUGUGGAGGAACACCGAUGGCGAAGGCAGCCCCCUGGGUCAAAACCGACGCUCAUGCACGAAAGCGUGGGGAGCAAACAGG